Molecule: transfer RNA, 71 nt
Filed under: Schistosoma japonicum
Lineage: Eukaryota; Metazoa; Platyhelminthes; Trematoda; Strigeidida; Schistosomatidae
Description: tRNA-Lys
Source: RNAcentral
UCAUAGAUAUCUUAAGUAUAAAGUGGAGGAUUCUUAAUUCUUUGAUGUUUAAUUUAUAUAAACUCUGUGAG